RNAcentral lists this ribosomal RNA (253 nucleotides) under uncultured bacterium. RNAcentral's name for it is "partial 16S ribosomal RNA". It matches the Rfam family "Bacterial small subunit ribosomal RNA", at positions 524 to 776 of the family's 1533-position model. The record is from RNAcentral.
CACGUAGGGCGCAAGCGUUGUCCGGAAUUAUUGGGCGUAAAGAGCUCGUAGGCGGUCUGUUGCGUCCGCUGUGAAAACCCGGGGCUUAACCCCUGGCUUGCAGUGGAUACGGACAGACUAGAGGUAGGUAGGGGAGAAUGGAAUUCCCGGUGUAGCGGUGAAAUGCGCAGAUAUCGGGAGGAACACCGGUGGCGAAGGCGGGUCUCUGGGCAGUAACUGACGCUGAGGAGCGAAAGCGUGGGGAGCGAACAGG